Molecule: ribosomal RNA, 229 nt
Filed under: uncultured bacterium
Lineage: Bacteria
Description: partial 16S ribosomal RNA
Rfam family: Bacterial small subunit ribosomal RNA
Source: RNAcentral
UGCGUAGGCGGAAAAUUAAGUCAGUGAUGAAAUCCUGCAGCUUAACUGUAGAACUGUUAUUGAUACUGAUUUUCUUAAAUUCAGUUGAGGUAGGCGGAAUGUGUAAUGUAGCGGUGAAAUGCUUAGAUAUUACACAGAACACCGAUUGCGAAGGCAGCUUACUAAGCUGAUAUUGACGCUGAGGCACGAAAGCGUGGGGAGCGAACAGGAUUAGAUACCCUGGUAGUCC